This 492-nucleotide ribosomal RNA is filed under the name uncultured bacterium. RNAcentral's name for it is "partial 16S ribosomal RNA". It matches the Rfam family "Bacterial small subunit ribosomal RNA", at positions 29 to 507 of the family's 1533-position model. The record is from RNAcentral.
AGUGAACGCUGGCGGUAGGCCUAACACAUGCAAGUCGAACGGCAGCACAGUAAGAGCUUGCUCUUACGGGUGGCGAGUGGCGGACGGGUGAGGAAUACAUCGGAAUCUACUUUUUCGUGGGGGAUAACGUAGGGAAACUUACGCUAAUACCGCAUACGACCUACGGGUGAAAGCAGGGGAUCUUCGGACCUUGCGCGAUUGAAUGAGCCGAUGUCGGAUUAGCUGGUUGGUGGGGUAAAGGCACACCAAGGCGACGGUCCGAAGUUGGUCUGAGAGGAGGAUCAGCGACACUGGAACUGAGACACGGUCCAGACGCCUACGGGAGGCAGCAGUGGGGAAGAUUGGACAAUGGGCGCAAGCCUGAUCCAGCCAUACCGCGUGGGUGAAGAAGGCCUUCGGGUUGUAAAGACCUUCUGUUGGGAAAGAAAAGCAGCAGGUUAAUACCCCGCUGUUCUGACGGUACCCAAAGAAUAAGCACCGGCUAACUUCGUG